Molecule: non-coding RNA, 86 nt
Organism: Podarcis lilfordi (Lilford's wall lizard)
Lineage: Eukaryota; Metazoa; Chordata; Lepidosauria; Squamata; Lacertidae
Source: the annotation of a GenBank genome assembly
AGGUGUUGUUGGACUACAACUCCCAUCACCCCUGACCAUUGGCCAUGCUGGCUGGGGAUGCUGGGAGUUGUAGUCCAACAGCAUCU